GCACUGCUGAAGAGUUCCACAAUAGAACGAAACGGCUGUCCAGUAA
This 46-nucleotide non-coding RNA is filed under the name Schistosoma haematobium. Lineage: Eukaryota; Metazoa; Platyhelminthes; Trematoda; Strigeidida; Schistosomatidae. The record is from RNAcentral.